RNAcentral lists this ribosomal RNA (468 nucleotides) under uncultured bacterium. Its description in RNAcentral is "partial 16S ribosomal RNA". It matches the Rfam family "Bacterial small subunit ribosomal RNA", at positions 28 to 507 of the family's 1533-position model. The record is from RNAcentral.
GACGAACGCUGGCGGCGUGCUUAACACAUGCAAGUCGAACGGAAAGGCCCUGCUCUUGUGGGGUGCUCGAGUGGCGAACGGGUGAGUAACACGUGAGUAACCUGCCCUUGACUGUGGGAUAACUUCAGGAAACUGGGGCUAAUACCGGAUAGGAGCUCCUGCUGCAUGGUGGGGGUUGGAAAGUUUCGGCGGUUGGGGAUGGACUCGCGGCUUAUCAGCUUGUUGGUGGGGUAGUGGCUUACCAAGGCUUUGACGGGUAGCCGGCCUGAGAGGGUGACCGGCCACAUUGGGACUGAGAUACGCCCCAGACUCCUACGGUAGGCAGCAGUGGGGAAUAUUGCACAAUGGGCGGAAGCCUGAUGCAGCAACGCCGCGUGCGGGAUGACGGCUUUCGGGUUGUAAACCGCUUUCGCCUGUGACGAAGCGUGAGUGACGGUAAUGGGUAAAGAAGCACCGGCUAACUACGUG